CCCCUUAGAUGUUCUGGGCUGCACGCGCGCUACACUGAUGCGCUCAACGAGUUUUAACCUUGCCUGGAAAGGUUGGGUAAUCUUUUUAAAACGCAUCGUGAUGGGGAUAGAUUAUUGCAAUUAUUAAUCUUCAACGAGGAAUUCCUAGUAAGCGCGAGUCAUCAGCUCGUGCUGAUUACGUCCCAGCCCUUUGUACACACCGCCCGUCGCCCCUACCGAUUGAGUGAUCCGGUGAAUAAUUCGGACUGCGGCAUUGACCGGUUCCCGAUCGUUGCUGCGGAAAGUUUAGUGAACCUUAUCACUUAGAGGAAGGAGAAGUCGUAACA
Molecule: ribosomal RNA, 326 nt
Filed under: uncultured eukaryote
Lineage: Eukaryota
Description: partial 18S ribosomal RNA
Rfam family: Eukaryotic small subunit ribosomal RNA
Source: RNAcentral